This 229-nucleotide ribosomal RNA is filed under the name uncultured bacterium. Its description in RNAcentral is "partial 16S ribosomal RNA". It matches the Rfam family "Bacterial small subunit ribosomal RNA", at positions 524 to 750 of the family's 1533-position model. The record is from RNAcentral.
UACGAAGGGGGGCUAGCGUUGCUCGGAAUCACUGGGCGUAAAGGGCGCGUAGGCGGGCUCUUAAGUCAGGGGUGAAAGCCCAAGGCUCAACCUUGGAAUUGCCUUUGAUACUGAGGGCCUUGAGACCGGAAGGAGGUCGGCGGAACUGCGAGUGUAGAGGUGAAAUUCGUAGAUAUUCGCAAGAACACCAGUGGCGAAGGCGGCCGACUGGUCCGGUUCUGACGCUGAG